Molecule: signal recognition particle RNA, 295 nt
Filed under: Aotus nancymaae (Ma's night monkey)
Lineage: Eukaryota; Metazoa; Chordata; Mammalia; Primates; Aotidae
Description: Metazoan signal recognition particle RNA (ENSANAG00000002229.1)
Rfam family: Metazoan signal recognition particle RNA
About the family: The signal recognition particle (SRP) is a universally conserved ribonucleoprotein. It is involved in the co-translational targeting of proteins to membranes. The eukaryotic SRP consists of a 300-nucleotide 7S RNA and six proteins: SRPs 72, 68, 54, 19, 14, and 9.
Source: RNAcentral
GCCAGGCGCGGUGGUGCGUGCCUGUAGUCCCAGCUACUCGGGAGGCUGAGGUGGGAGGAUCGCUUGAGCCCAGGAGUUCUGGGCUGUAGUGCGCUAUGCCGAUUAGGUGUCUGCACUAAGUUCGGCAUCAACAUGGUGACCUCCCGGGAGCGGGGGACCACCAAGUUGCCUAAGGAGGGGUGAACUGGCCCAGGUUGGAAAUGGAGCAGGUCAAAACUCCUGUGUUGACAGUAGCAGGAUCGCACCUGUGAAUAGCCACUGCACUCCAGUCUGGGCAACAUGAGACCCCGUGUCU